UAGCAUUCUGAAAACCUGCACACUAGGCUACGCGCGGAGAACUUGGUUUCUCAGUCUCAUGCCUAGGGGAAAGUCCCCGGACCGGCGGCAGAAAGUGCUCGGCUUGAACGCCCGUCUCUGGUUCGCGCGUCACCGCGGCCUUGACCAAGGCUAAGACGUUCGCUGUGGACUGAGCCUGGUGACUGCGAAUCGCUUUCGUCAUUGCCAUAGUAACGCAGGUGGUGCGCCCACGCGCACUCUACAGAACGGGGCUCAUUCCCAGAAUGCA
Scleropages formosus (Asian bonytongue) is the source of this 268-nucleotide ribozyme. It matches the Rfam family "RNase MRP". From Rfam's summary of the family: RNase MRP is an enzymatically active ribonucleoprotein with two distinct roles in eukaryotes. In mitochondria it plays a direct role in the initiation of mitochondrial DNA replication. Lineage: Eukaryota; Metazoa; Chordata; Actinopteri; Osteoglossiformes; Osteoglossidae. The record is from Ensembl.